GAUGAACGCUGGCGGCGUGCCUAAUACAUGCAAGUCGAGCGAACAGACGAGGAGCUUGCUCCUCUGACGUUAGCGGCGGACGGGUGAGUAACACGUGGAUAACCUACCUAUAAGACUGGGAUAACUUCGGGAAACCGGAGCUAAUACCGGAUAAUAUCUUGAACCGCAUGGUUCAAUAGUGAAAGACGGUUUUGCUGUAACUUCUAGAUGGAUCCGCGCCGCAUUAGCUAGUUGGUAAGGUAACGGCUUACCAAGGCAACGAUGCGUAGCCGACCUGAGAGCGUGAUCGGCCACACGGGAACUGAGACACGGUCCAGACUCCUACGGGAGGCAGCAGUAGGGAAUCGUCCGCAAUGGGCGAAAGCCUGACGGAGCAACGCCGCGUGAGUUAUGAAGGUCUUCGGAUCGUAAAACUCUGUUAUUAGGGAAGAACAAAUGUGUAAGUAACUAUGCACGUCUUGACGGUACCUGAUCAGAAAGCCACGGCUAACUACGUG
Molecule: ribosomal RNA, 497 nt
Filed under: uncultured bacterium
Lineage: Bacteria
Description: partial 16S ribosomal RNA
Rfam family: Bacterial small subunit ribosomal RNA
Source: RNAcentral